AUCGCCCUCUUUCUUCAGGCCUAACACAUGCAAGUCGAACGAACCUUUCGGGGUUAGUGGCGGACGGGUGAGUAACACGUGGGAACGUGCCUUUAGGUUCGGAAUAACUCAGGGAAACUUGUGCUAAUACCGAAUGUGCCCUUCGGGGGAAAGAUUAAUCGCCUUUAGAGCGGCCCGCGUCUGAUUAGCUAGUUGGUUGAGGUAAUGGCUCACCAAGGCGACGAUCAGUAGCUGGUCUGAGAGGAUGAUCAGCCACAUUGGGACUGAGACACGGCCCAAACUCCUACGGGAAGCAGCAGUGGGGAAUCUUGCGCAAUGGGCGAAAGCCUGACGCAGCCAUGCCGCGUGAAUGAUGAAGGUCUUAGGAUUGUAAAAUUCUUUCACCGGGGACGAUAAUGACGGUACCCGGAGAAGAAGCCCCGGCUAACUUCGUG
RNAcentral lists this ribosomal RNA (434 nucleotides) under uncultured bacterium. RNAcentral's name for it is "partial 16S ribosomal RNA". It matches the Rfam family "Bacterial small subunit ribosomal RNA", at positions 36 to 507 of the family's 1533-position model. The record is from RNAcentral.